Molecule: ribosomal RNA, 1343 nt
Filed under: Vibrio campbellii
Lineage: Bacteria; Pseudomonadati; Pseudomonadota; Gammaproteobacteria; Vibrionales; Vibrionaceae
Description: bacterial SSU rRNA
Rfam family: Bacterial small subunit ribosomal RNA
Source: RNAcentral
GAGGAGCCCGCCUAGAGUAUUGCCCGGACGCGGGGGAUAACCAUUGGAAACGAUGGCUAAUACCGCAUGAUGCCUACGGGCCAAAGAGGGGGACCUUCGGGCCUCUCGCGUCAGGAUAUGCCUAGGUGGGAUUAGCUAGUUGGUGAGGUAAGGGCUCACCAAGGCGACGAUCCCUAGCUGGUCUGAGAGGAUGAUCAGCCACACUGGAACUGAGACACGGUCCAGACUCCUACGGGAGGCAGCAGUGGGGAAUAUUGCACAAUGGGCGCAAGCCUGAUGCAGCCAUGCCGCGUGUGUGAAGAAGGCCUUCGGGUUGUAAAGCACUUUCAGUCGUGAGGAAGGUAGUGUAGUUAAUAGCUGCAUUAUUUGACGUUAGCGACAGAAGAAGCACCGGCUAACUCCGUGCCAGCAGCCGCGGUAAUACGGAGGGUGCGAGCGUUAAUCGGAAUUACUGGGCGUAAAGCGCAUGCAGGUGGUUUGUUAAGUUAGAUGUGAAAGCCCGGGGCUCAACCUCGGAAUAGCAUUUGAAACUGGCAGACUAGAGUACUGUAGAGGGGGGUAGAAUUUCAGGUGUAGCGGUGAAAUGCGUAGAGAUCUGAAGGAAUACCGGUGGCGAAGGCGGCCCCCUGGACAGAUACUGACACUCAGAUGCGAAAGCGUGGGGAGCAAACAGGAUUAGAUACCCUGGUAGUCCACGCCGUAAACGAUGUCUACUUGGAGGUUGUGGCCUUGAGCCGUGGCUUUCGGAGCUAACGCGUUAAGUAGACCGCCUGGGGAGUACGGUCGCAAGAUUAAAACUCAAAUGAAUUGACGGGGGCCCGCACAAGCGGUGGAGCAUGUGGUUUAAUUCGAUGCAACGCGAAGAACCUUACCUACUCUUGACAUCCAGAGAACUUUCCAGAGAUGGAUUGGUGCCUUCGGGAACUCUGAGACAGGUGCUGCAUGGCUGUCGUCAGCUCGUGUUGUGAAAUGUUGGGUUAAGUCCCGCAACGAGCGCAACCCUUAUCCUUGUUUGCCAGCGAGUAAUGUCGGGAACUCCAGGGAGACUGCCGGUGAUAAACCGGAGGAAGGUGGGGACGACGUCAAGUCAUCAUGGCCCUUACGAGUAGGGCUACACACGUGCUACAAUGGCGCAUACAGAGGGCGGCCAACUUGCGAAAGUGAGCGAAUCCCAAAAAGUGCGUCGUAGUCCGGAUUGGAGUCUGCAACUCGACUCCAUGAAGUCGGAAUCGCUUGUAAUCGUGGAUCAGAAUGUCGCGAUGAAUAUCGUUCCUAGAGCGUUAUACACUCCCCCCGUAUCUUCGCUACACAGAUGAGUCUCUGAUGAGUUGUACCCCCAGAGG